ACAGUGCGCAGCUGAAUUGGGAUGAGGGGCCAGGACAAAGCAGAAAUCUGCUGCAGAGAGCAGGAAAGAUAAAGGAUAUUCUGCAGCAGGAUCUGGGCAAGUGGCACUCAUCCAUAUCCUUUGCAUUGCAAAGACAGGAGCUACCUCCUUCCUUUUUAUUUUCCAGUUUAUUGGUGGCUCCUAGAACCUCUGAGAACUAACUGAUUUUGACCUCUUAACAGUUGCCUUUCAACUACCAUUCAUUUACUGCAAGCCUACUGUGUAACAGGCCCUUGCUAACCACUUCAGAUAAUAUUGUCUCUUGUCCAGCUUCAAGUGACUCUCUUAGGGAGGGAUUAGCCUCACCUCACUAGUAUGGAAAUGGAGACUUGGAGUAAUCAAGUGACUUGCUCUGAAUUACACAGCUGGGAAGUGGUGAAGCUGGAAUUCAACUCAAGUUAUGUCUAGAUCUAAAACUCAUGCUCUUUUCUAUGCUCAAAGCUGCAUAUCAAAACUGAACUUUAGCAUGGAGUCUAUGAUGACUGGCUCAUGUCUCUCCACCCAGCACCUAGCCCAAGGCCAAGCACAGAGAAGGCUCACAGUGGACACUUUUAGAAUGAGUAGAUUUUGUAUGGAAUGGUCGAGCACACUGAACUACCUGGAGUAAAGGGGCAUCAUGUCUGAAACUGAUGCUUAAGUGGCUCAGAAAAAAAAUUCUGGGAGCUAGAGGGAGAGAGAGACAGAGGAGUGUGGUAAAAAGUUAACAUUUUGGGGAUCUGCGUAAAGGUAUCUGAGGAUUCUUUGUACGGAUUUUGCAAUUUUUCUCCAAAUGUGAAAUUAUGUCAAAAUAUAAAAUUAAAAGGCAAAAUUAAAAGAAUGAAUGAGAGUUUGCUAGGUAGAGAAGCAGGGGGAUCUUCUGGCAAAGGAACAGGAUAAGCAAAAGCAUCACAAGUGUGAGAGUCUUCUGUGUUGACAA
This 955-nucleotide long non-coding RNA is filed under the name Pan troglodytes (chimpanzee). RNAcentral describes it as "lincRNA". The record is from RNAcentral. Lineage: Eukaryota; Metazoa; Chordata; Mammalia; Primates; Hominidae.